This 1284-nucleotide ribosomal RNA is filed under the name Mammaliicoccus sciuri. RNAcentral's name for it is "bacterial SSU rRNA". It matches the Rfam family "Bacterial small subunit ribosomal RNA", at positions 61 to 1326 of the family's 1533-position model. The record is from RNAcentral. Lineage: Bacteria; Bacillati; Bacillota; Bacilli; Caryophanales; Staphylococcaceae.
GUCGAGCGAACAGAUGAGAAGCUUGCUUCUCUGAUGUUAGCGGCGGACGGGUGAGUAACACGUGGGUAACCUACCUAUAAGACUGGGAUAACUCCGGGAAACCGGGGCUAAUACCGGAUAAUAUUUUGAACCGCAUGGUUCGAUAGUGAAAGACGGUUUCGGCUGUCACUUAUAGAUGGACCCGCGCCGUAUUAGCUAGUUGGUAAGGUAACGGCUUACCAAGGCGACGAUACGUAGCCGACCUGAGAGGGUGAUCGGCCACACUGGAACUGAGACACGGUCCAGACUCCUACGGGAGGCAGCAGUAGGGAAUCUUCCGCAAUGGGCGAAAGCCUGACGGAGCAACGCCGCGUGAGUGAUGAAGGUCUUCGGAUCGUAAAACUCUGUUGUUAGGGAAGAACAAAUUUGUUAGUAACUGAACAAGUCUUGACGGUACCUAACCAGAAAGCCACGGCUAACUACGUGCCAGCAGCCGCGGUAAUACGUAGGUGGCAAGCGUUAUCCGGAAUUAUUGGGCGUAAAGCGCGCGUAGGCGGUUUCUUAAGUCUGAUGUGAAAGCCCACGGCUCAACCGUGGAGGGUCAUUGGAAACUGGGAAACUUGAGUGCAGAAGAGGAGAGUGGAAUUCCAUGUGUAGCGGUGAAAUGCGCAGAGAUAUGGAGGAACACCAGUGGCGAAGGCGGCUCUCUGGUCUGUAACUGACGCUGAUGUGCGAAGCGUGGGGAUCAAACAGGAUUAGAUACCCUGGUAGUCCACGCCGUAAACGAUGAGUGCUAAGUGUUAGGGGGUUUCCGCCCCUUAGUGCUGCAGCUAACGCAUUAAGCACUCCGCCUGGGGAGUACGACCGCAAGGUUGAAACUCAAAGGAAUUGACGGGGACCCGCACAAGCGGUGGAGCAUGUGGUUUAAUUCGAAGCAACGCGAAGAACCUUACCAAAUCUUGACAUCCUUUGACCGCUCUAGAGAUAGAGUCUUCCCCUUCGGGGGACAAAGUGACAGGUGGUGCAUGGUUGUCGUCAGCUCGUGUCGUGAGAUGUUGGGUUAAGUCCCGCAACGAGCGCAACCCUUAAGCUUAGUUGCCAUCAUUAAGUUGGGCACUCUAGGUUGACUGCCGGUGACAAACCGGAGGAAGGUGGGGAUGACGUCAAAUCAUCAUGCCCCUUAUGAUUUGGGCUACACACGUGCUACAAUGGAUAAUACAAAGGGCAGCGAAUCCGCGAGGCCAAGCAAAUCCCAUAAAAUUAUUCUCAGUUCGGAUUGUAGUCUGCAACUCGACUACAUGAAGC